AAAUUGGCAUUGGAUCUUCUAUGAAGCAGGAUUAUGGGAAAUUACCAUGGUUUAUACUCACUCAGAGAAAGGGAAUAAGGAAAAUGAUUCUAGAGACAGAUUGUUUUAGAGCUCUGAACCUUGUGAAGGAAGAUCUGGACCCAGAUAAUCCAAAUAGUGAUAUUUUACUUGCAAUCAAGAAGGUUAUGAGCCAUCAGUCAAAUGCAUACAUGGAAGCCAAGCCACUCAGUUGUUAACAAGUUUUGCCCAAGGUCUAGAAGUAAGAAUGCAAUAUUUUAACUCCCCACCAGGGCUAUUGGCAGGUAGCAUCCUUAGGACCAGUGUGGAAGAGUGGAGUGUCUUUGCGCAAGAUUGGUUCAGUGCCGUCACUCGUCAGAACUCUUAGGCCUUCUAACAAAAUAAAUUAAUAAAAUAAAACAAAAUCACAAAAUUCACCAGAUUAAGUCAACUCUUCCGCUGUUAUCCUAACUGAAGCAUGCAGAGCAUGCAAACUUCAUCAGGCAAAAAAGAUUGGAAGCUGACUUACAUCCUUCUUAUCCAUUGGUGUCAA
This 550-nucleotide unclassified non-coding RNA is filed under the name Hevea brasiliensis (rubber tree). The record is from RNAcentral. Lineage: Eukaryota; Viridiplantae; Streptophyta; Magnoliopsida; Malpighiales; Euphorbiaceae.